RNAcentral lists this ribosomal RNA (892 nucleotides) under Phaenoglyphis villosa. Its description in RNAcentral is "SSU rRNA". It matches the Rfam family "Eukaryotic small subunit ribosomal RNA", at positions 48 to 882 of the family's 1831-position model. Lineage: Eukaryota; Metazoa; Arthropoda; Insecta; Hymenoptera; Figitidae. The record is from RNAcentral.
GCCAUGCAUGUCUCAGUGCAUGCCAAAUUAAGGUGAAACCGCGAAUGGCUCAUUAAAUCAGUUAUGGUUCCUUAGAUCGUACCCACAUUUACUUGGAUAACUGUGGUAAUUCUAGAGCUAAUACAUGCAAACCAGAGUUCUGACCAGAGAUGGGAGGAACGCUUUUAUUAGAUCAAAACCAAUCGGUGGCGGGUUCGCUCGUCCACCGUUUACUUUGGUGACUCUGAAUAACUUUGUGCUGAUCGCACGGUCUUGCACCGGCGACGCAUCUUUCAAAUGUCUGACUUAUCAACUGUCGAUGGUAGGUUCUGCGCCUACCAUGGUUGUAACGGGUAACGGGGAAUCAGGGUUCGAUUCCGGAGAGGGAGCCUGAGAAACGGCUACCACAUCCAAGGAAGGCAGCAGGCGCGCAAAUUACCCACUCCCGGCACGGGGAGGUAGUGACGAAAAAUAACGAUACGGGACUCAUCCGAGGCCCCGUAAUCGGAAUGAGUACACUUUAAAUCCUUUAACGAGGAUCAAUUGGAGGGCAAGUCUGGUGCCAGCAGCCGCGGUAAUUCCAGCUCCAAUAGCGUAUAUUAAAGUUGUUGCGGUUAAAAAGCUCGUAGUUGAAUCUGUGUCGCACGCUGUCGGUUCGCCGCUCGCGGUGUUAACUGGCAGACUCGUGUGACGUCCUACCGGUGGACUUAGCCUUCGGGCGGUCCAACUAAUAUCCCAUCGCGGUGCUCUUAAUUGAGUGUCGAGGUGGGCCGGUACGUUUACUUUGAACAAAUUAGAGUGCUUAAAGCAGGCUAUUUUCGCCUGAAUACUGUGUGCAUGGAAUAAUGGAAUAGGACCUCGGUUCUAUUUUGUUGGUUUUCGGAAAUCCGAGGUAAUGAUUAAUAGGGACAGA